CCUGAGCCGAAGUUGGACGCUCAACCGACUGAGCCACCCAGGUUUAACCAAUGAGGAUAUAUGUGGCCACCCCUCCUGUGUUUAAACACGGCCGCCCCAGCUCCUUGGGUUCAGCAGACUUCCGGGACAAUGCCUACCCCAUCUUACUGCCCACGCCCACCGCACCAUGCCUGGACAACUGCAGCCCAUGUUCUCCUCCGGUUCUAGCAAUCCACCCCCUUCCUCUCCGAAUGGAACUCAGUGUGGUGAGGCAGAACAUCAAAGUUCAUUUUUGUUUCUCUUGGAGCUGGUGAGUUUUGUUUUCAUGUGUAAGCAAAAGGAUCUUCUCUGAGCCUCAGCUUUGAAACAGAAGUUGGCCUGUACCCGGCCUAAAAUAGCAUGCUUCCUGUCACACAAAGACCUUAAUGUUAAAAAAAAAAAAAAAAAACUCUUGGUUUUUGAAGCUCUGAUUUGUACUAACUCAUUUAACGAAUUGUUCCAUUUGUCUUUCCAGCAACACUGUGAGAUGGAUGGGGUGAGCCCUGCAUGACAGACGGGACCCAGAGAAUGGGAAAGGUCACCAGCUUACCCAGACCGAGGAGAGGCUUUUCCUGCUGGCUUCAAAGAAAGUAAAUUUCUAGGCCAUGUUAGGACUUGAGGGUGGCCUUGAGGAGAUGAAUGGACUGUCAGCCAGUGAAGAAACAGGGACCUGAGUACCGCAACCAAAACUUAAAAUCUACCGACAACCUCAAGGAGGAUGAAAGGAGAGCCCAGACUCAGAAAGAACUCGGUCCAGCCAACACGUUGAUUUUAGCCUCAUAAGACCCUGAGCGGAAAAUCCAGUUGUUCUGUGCCAAAACUUCUGACCUAUGAAAACUAUGACAUAAUAAAUAGGUGUUGGUUUAGCCUCCAA
Molecule: long non-coding RNA, 892 nt
Organism: Leopardus geoffroyi (Geoffroy's cat)
Lineage: Eukaryota; Metazoa; Chordata; Mammalia; Carnivora; Felidae
Exons: 3
Source: RefSeq, a predicted model, not a curated record